Molecule: small RNA, 579 nt
Filed under: Pongo abelii (Sumatran orangutan)
Lineage: Eukaryota; Metazoa; Chordata; Mammalia; Primates; Hominidae
Description: retained intron
Source: RNAcentral
UUGUUUUGUUUUGCUUAAGGUUGCAAUUGUAGCUCAAGACUUGGCAGCAUUCCAUACUGCCUCAUCAGAAAUGGGGCACCAGCAGCAUAGCCAUCACUUAGUAACCACAGAAACCAGACCUCUGACCUUAGUAGCAACAUCCAAUGGCACCCAGAUUGCAGUUCAGCUUGGAGAACAGCCAUCUCUGGAAGAAGCCAUCAGAAUAGCGUCUAGAAUCCAACAAGGAGAAACGCCAGGGUUGGAUGAUUAAUCCUCAGAACAAUGGAGCAAUAAAGCAGAAGGAGUCUUUCAUCUUCCGGCAGCAGAAAUCCAUGAAGCCCGGGCCCAGGAAAAUUAGAAGUUUUCCAUUCCUGAUACACUGUACACAUUUUAAUGCGAGAGUGGAGAACAUUUUAUUCUUGACACUUUUGUGUAUAUAUCCCUUGGAAUAGAUUCUCAGAGUGAUUCAUUGUGUACAAGGAAGUAUGAAAUUAGGGCAAUACAGUAAAUUUUCAUGUUACUCUUUUAUCAGAUCACAAACUCCUAGAGUCUACAUGCAAGACUAGUAAAGUCUUAUGAUGGAUUUUUAACUUCCCAUGG